UCUCCCCUUGUUUCAUUCUCCCAUGGGCAUUACAAUAAGACAAAAGAAAAAAAAAAUUGGAAAGAGAAAAGAUGGCAGCGGGAGGAUGCGCCUGUGCACUUGACUUCGGCCUACGGAAGCCCACGCCCUCUGUGCAUGUCUGACCCCACUUCGGCCACCGAUCCCUACCUCAACCCUCCCUACCUCAACCCGCUAGCCCCGUGGCAGCCCCAGCCCUUACGUCGGCC
RNAcentral lists this long non-coding RNA (227 nucleotides) under Elaeis guineensis (African oil palm). RNAcentral's name for it is "long non-coding RNA (EGUI_LNC011827)". The record is from RNAcentral. Lineage: Eukaryota; Viridiplantae; Streptophyta; Magnoliopsida; Arecales; Arecaceae.